CCGGCAAGGCUGUACGACCAGAUCCUUCUGAACCCCGCCAGGACCGAAAGGUAGCAACGGUAAGAAGUUGAUCGGUGUGAUACGGUUCUUGCCUUUUU
RNAcentral lists this signal recognition particle RNA (98 nucleotides) under Bacteroidota bacterium. RNAcentral's name for it is "Bacteroidetes bacterium (microbial mat metagenome) signal recognition particle sRNA small type". It matches the Rfam family "Bacterial small signal recognition particle RNA". Rfam says of the family: The signal recognition particle (SRP) is a universally conserved ribonucleoprotein involved in the co-translational targeting of proteins to membranes. Archaeal SRP consists of a 7S RNA and homologues of the eukaryotic SRP19 and SRP54 proteins. Lineage: Bacteria; Pseudomonadati; Bacteroidota. The record is from RNAcentral.